UCCCACCCAGAGGCUUUAAAUGUCUGACAACUUCCUGGUAGAAAUAUUGCUAUGCAGGAAAACCUCAGAUGCCUGUCUCUUAAGUUUAAACCUAUGUAUAACAAAAAGGCCUUCAUACACCACUACACUAGAGAGGGCUUAAGUGAAUCCGAAUUCACUGAAGCACAAGAAGAUUUAAAUGAUUUGAUUUCUGAUUAUCAGAGUUUUCAGGAUUGCGGAAAAGGGGAGGAAAAAAAAAAAUCUAAAUCAAACAAAAAGCGAAAUUACGACGCGGCGCCAUAUGCCAAGACCAACUCAGGGAAAGGCCCCGUGGGUCAAGCCGGGGCAAGAAGCAUGGGGGUUGGGAUGUCAGGAGGACCAAUCCCGAAUAAGAACUCCGAAGACAGCUUCUUAGAGCAGAGAGCAUCUCAGAAUGCAAAGAAAUAUUCAAGAGACGGAUCUCUCAGAGACAAUGCUUCAAAGACGACUACAGAACUUGGACCACCACCACCACCUAAUAAUGGGGGAAAGCCAAGCACUUCAAGGAAAUUUAAGCCCCCAAAUGAAACAAGAUCAGACACUAAUCAACCAAGAAAGGUGAACUCCAAAGUGAAAUCUUGUAACAAACCAGAAGUAGUAUAUAAUUGCUGUAUCAGCAGUUAUUUAUUCGUCUCAAAUUAAGAUCUUCAGAAGGAACUAGAAGCUGGAGAGACAGUAAUUCCUUCCUCUACAGUGUGGCUUAAGCUCUAUGAAGAUGGAAGAACAGUGGAAAGGCCAAAAAAAAAAGUUGACAAUUGUUGCAUCGAAGGGUAAAAAAUUGUCAACUUGAUAAUGCAAAGACUAAAUACAUAGUACUGGAAAAAGGUAAAUUUUUUUCUCACUUUGAUGAAACUCACAUUUCAUUCAAGUCAAUAAUAAAACUCUUCUCAAAAGAACGUGAACCCA
Molecule: long non-coding RNA, 924 nt
Filed under: Monodelphis domestica (gray short-tailed opossum)
Lineage: Eukaryota; Metazoa; Chordata; Mammalia; Didelphimorphia; Didelphidae
Description: lncRNA (ENSMODG00000031872.2)
Source: RNAcentral